UCUACCUACGGGACGCAGCAGUCGGGAAUAUUGCGCAAUGGAGGAAACUCUGACGCAGUGACGCCGCGUGCAGGAAGAAGGUUUUCGGAUUGUAAACUGCUUUAGACAGGGAAGAAAAAAGACAGUACCUGUAGAAUAAGCUCCGGCUAACUACGUGCCAGCAGCCGCGGUAAUACUUAGGGAGCAAGCGUUAUCCGGAUUUAUUGGGUUUAAAGGGUGCGCAGGCGGCCUGUUAAGUCAGCGGUAAAAGCCCGGGGCUCAACCCCGGCGAGCCGUUGAAACUGGCGGGCUGGAGUUGGAGAGAA
RNAcentral lists this ribosomal RNA (305 nucleotides) under uncultured bacterium. RNAcentral describes it as "bacterial SSU rRNA". It matches the Rfam family "Bacterial small subunit ribosomal RNA", at positions 332 to 656 of the family's 1533-position model. The record is from RNAcentral.